UACAGAGGGUGCAAGCGUUAAUCGGAAUUACUGGGCGUAAAGCGUGCGCAGGCGGUUUGUAAGUCAGAUGUGAAAUCCCCGGGCUUAACCUGGGAACUGCGUUUGAAACUACAAGGCUAGAGUGUGACAGAGGGGGUGGAAUUCCACGUGUAGCAGUGAAAUGGCGUAGAUAUGACGGAGGAACACCGAUGGCGAAGGCAAUCCCCUGGACCUGUACUGACGCUCAUGCACGAAAGCG
Molecule: ribosomal RNA, 238 nt
Filed under: uncultured bacterium
Lineage: Bacteria
Description: partial 16S ribosomal RNA
Rfam family: Bacterial small subunit ribosomal RNA
Source: RNAcentral